UACGUAGGCGGAAAAUUAAGUCAGUGGUGAAAUCCUGCAGCUUAACUGUAGAACUGUCAUUGAUACUGGUUUUCUUGAAUUUAGUUGAGGUAGGCGGAAUGUGUAAUGUAGCGGUGAAAUGCUUAGAUAUUACACAGAACACCGAUUGCGAAGGCAGCUUACUAAACUAUGAUUGACGCUGAGGUACGAAAGCGUGGGGAGCGAACAGGAUUAGAUACCCUGGUAGUCC
Molecule: ribosomal RNA, 229 nt
Filed under: uncultured bacterium
Lineage: Bacteria
Description: partial 16S ribosomal RNA
Rfam family: Bacterial small subunit ribosomal RNA
Source: RNAcentral